UACGUAGGUGGCAAGCGUUGUCCGGAGUUAUUGGGCGUAAAGCGCGCGCAGGCGGUGCGGUAAGUCUCUGGUGAAAGCGCUCGGCUUAACUGGGCGAGGGCCGGGGAGACUGCCACGCUGGAGGGGAGCAGAGGCGAGUGGAAUUCCGGGUGUAGCGGUGAAAUGCGCAGAUAUCAGGAGGAACACCGGUGGCGAAGGCGGAUCUCUGGGCCUUACCUGACGCUCAGGUGCGAAAGCUAGGGGAGCGAACAGG
RNAcentral lists this ribosomal RNA (253 nucleotides) under uncultured bacterium. Its description in RNAcentral is "partial 16S ribosomal RNA". It matches the Rfam family "Bacterial small subunit ribosomal RNA", at positions 524 to 776 of the family's 1533-position model. The record is from RNAcentral.